AACGAACGCUGGCGGCAUGCCUAACACAUGCGAGUCGAACGAGACCUUCGGGUCUAGUGGCGCACGGGUGCGUAACGCGUGGGAACCUGCCCUUAGGUUCGGAAUAACUCCCCGAAAGGGGUGCUAAUACCGGAUAAUGUCUUCGGACCAAAGAUUUAUCGCCGUUGGAUGGGCCCGCGUUGGAUUAGCUAGUUGGUAGGGUAAAAGCCUACCAAGGCGACGAUCCAUAGCUGGUCUGAGAGGAUGAUCAGCCACACUGGGACUGAGACACGGCCCAGACUCCUACGGGAGGCAGCAGUGGGGAAUAUUGGACAAUGGGCGAAAGCCUGAUCCAGCAAUGUCGCGUGAGUGAUGAAGGCCUUAGGGUUGUAAAGCUCUUUUACCCGGGAUGAUAAUGACAGUACCGGGAGAAUAAGCUCCGGCUAACUACGUG
This 433-nucleotide ribosomal RNA is filed under the name uncultured bacterium. RNAcentral's name for it is "partial 16S ribosomal RNA". It matches the Rfam family "Bacterial small subunit ribosomal RNA", at positions 29 to 507 of the family's 1533-position model. The record is from RNAcentral.